CCUAAGGAUUUUCUCAAAUCCACUAAUUUGACAAUCUUUAAGGAAA
Molecule: non-coding RNA, 46 nt
Organism: Gossypium hirsutum (cotton)
Lineage: Eukaryota; Viridiplantae; Streptophyta; Magnoliopsida; Malvales; Malvaceae
Source: Rfam